This 1553-nucleotide ribosomal RNA is filed under the name Pectobacterium carotovorum subsp. carotovorum. RNAcentral's name for it is "bacterial SSU rRNA". It matches the Rfam family "Bacterial small subunit ribosomal RNA". Lineage: Bacteria; Pseudomonadati; Pseudomonadota; Gammaproteobacteria; Enterobacterales; Pectobacteriaceae. The record is from RNAcentral.
CUUAAAUUGAAGAGUUUGAUCAUGGCUCAGAUUGAACGCUGGCGGCAGGCCUAACACAUGCAAGUCGAGCGGUAGCACAGAAGAGCUUGCUCUUUGGGUGACGAGCGGCGGACGGGUGAGUAAUGUCUGGGAAACUGCCUGAUGGAGGGGGAUAACUACUGGAAACGGUAGCUAAUACCGCAUAACCUCGCAAGAGCAAAGAGGGGGACCUUAGGGCCUCUCGCCAUCAGAUGUGCCCAGAUGGGAUUAGCUAGUAGGUGAGGUAAUGGCUCACCUAGGCGACGAUCCCUAGCUGGUCUGAGAGGAUGACCAGCCACACUGGAACUGAGACACGGUCCAGACUCCUACGGGAGGCAGCAGUGGGGAAUAUUGCACAAUGGGCGCAAGCCUGAUGCAGCCAUGCCGCGUGUGUGAAGAAGGCCUUCGGGUUGUAAAGCACUUUCAGCGAGGAGGAAGGCGGUAAGGUUAAUAACCUUAUCGAUUGACGUUACUCGCAGAAGAAGCACCGGCUAACUCCGUGCCAGCAGCCGCGGUAAUACGGAGGGUGCAAGCGUUAAUCGGAAUGACUGGGCGUAAAGCGCACGCAGGCGGUCUGUUAAGUUGGAUGUGAAAUCCCCGGGCUUAACCUGGGAACUGCAUUCAAAACUGACAGGCUAGAGUCUUGUAGAGGGGGGUAGAAUUCCAGGUGUAGCGGUGAAAUGCGUAGAGAUCUGGAGGAAUACCGGUGGCGAAGGCGGCCCCCUGGACAAAGACUGACGCUCAGGUGCGAAAGCGUGGGGAGCAAACAGGAUUAGAUACCCUGGUAGUCCACGCUGUAAACGAUGUCGAUUUGGAGGUUGUGCCCUUGAGGCGUGGCUUCCGGAGCUAACGCGUUAAAUCGACCGCCUGGGGAGUACGGCCGCAAGGUUAAAACUCAAAUGAAUUGACGGGGGCCCGCACAAGCGGUGGAGCAUGUGGUUUAAUUCGAUGCAACGCGAAGAACCUUACCUACUCUUGACAUCCAGAGAAUUCGCUAGAGAUAGCUUAGUGCCUUCGGGAACUCUGAGACAGGUGCUGCAUGGCUGUCGUCAGCUCGUGUUGUGAAAUGUUGGGUUAAGUCCCGCAACGAGCGCAACCCUUAUCCUUUGUUGCCAGCGAUUCGGUCGGGAACUCAAAGGAGACUGCCGGUGAUAAACCGGAGGAAGGUGGGGAUGACGUCAAGUCAUCAUGGCCCUUACGAGUAGGGCUACACACGUGCUACAAUGGCGUAUACAAAGAGAAGCGACCUCGCGAGAGCAAGCGGACCUCAUAAAGUACGUCGUAGUCCGGAUUGGAGUCUGCAACUCGACUCCAUGAAGUCGGAAUCGCUAGUAAUCGUAGAUCAGAAUGCUACGGUGAAUACGUUCCCGGGCCUUGUACACACCGCCCGUCACACCAUGGGAGUGGGUUGCAAAAGAAGUAGGUAGCUUAACCUUCGGGAGGGCGCUUACCACUUUGUGAUUCAUGACUGGGGUGAAGUCGUAACAAGGUAACCGUAGGGGAACCUGCGGUUGGAUCACCUCCUUACCAAGAAG